AUUGAACGCUGGCGGCAUGCUUUACACAUGCAAGUCGAACGGCAGCGCGGGCUUCGGCCUGGCGGCGAGUGGCGAACGGGUGAGUAAUGCAUCGGAACGUGCCCAGUAGUGGGGGAUAGCCCGGCGAAAGCCGGAUUAAUACCGCAUACGACCUGAGGGUGAAAGCGGGGGACCGAAAGGCCUCGCGCUAUUGGAGGGGCCGAUGUCGGAUUAGCUAGUUGGUGGGGUAAAGGCUUACCAAGGCGACGAUCCGUAGCUGGUCUGAGAGGACGACCAGCCACACUGGGACUGAGACACGGCCCAGACUCCUACGGGAGGCAGCAGUGGGGAAUUUUGGACAAUGGGGGCAACCCUGAUCCAGCCAUGCCGCGUGCGGGAAGAAGGCCUUCGGGUUGUAAACCGCUUUUGUUCGGGAAGAAAUCCUCUGGGCUAAUACCCCGGGGGGAUGACGGUACCGGAAGAAUAAGCACCGGCUAACUACGUG
RNAcentral lists this ribosomal RNA (484 nucleotides) under uncultured bacterium. RNAcentral's name for it is "partial 16S ribosomal RNA". It matches the Rfam family "Bacterial small subunit ribosomal RNA", at positions 28 to 507 of the family's 1533-position model. The record is from RNAcentral.